GACGAACCGAGCGAACGUUGCUCGGAAUUAUUGGGCGUAAAGCGCACGUAGGCGGCUUGGCAAGUCGGAUGUGAAAUCCCUCGGCUCAACCAAGGAAGUGCAUCCGAAACUGCUGAGCUUGAGUACGAAAGAGGAUCGCGGAAUUCCCGGUGUAGAGGUGAAAUUCGUAGAUAUCGGGAGGAACACCAGUGGCGAAGGCGGCGAUCUGGGUCGAUACUGACGCUGAGGUGCGAAAGCGUGGGGAGCAAACAGG
This 253-nucleotide ribosomal RNA is filed under the name uncultured bacterium. RNAcentral's name for it is "partial 16S ribosomal RNA". It matches the Rfam family "Bacterial small subunit ribosomal RNA", at positions 524 to 776 of the family's 1533-position model. The record is from RNAcentral.